RNAcentral lists this long non-coding RNA (878 nucleotides) under Pan troglodytes (chimpanzee). Its description in RNAcentral is "long non-coding RNA NONPTRT006308". Lineage: Eukaryota; Metazoa; Chordata; Mammalia; Primates; Hominidae. The record is from RNAcentral.
AAAAAAAAAGGUGAUUGCAAAACGGCCUCAGGAACAGAAAGAGCCCAGGCAAUCCUCACUUCUUUUCUACUAAAACCCAGUAAUCCCUAGAGGGAGAAAGGGCGUCUCCUGCAGUAUUCCAGUGAAACUCGCUGGUUUUGCUCGAAUUAGACACUUGAACUAUGUUUUUAGAACUCUUCAUCUUAAAAGAAGUGGUUUAGUACUCCAAAUGCUGUGUAUUAUGACAGUGUCUUCCUCUGACGUAUUUAUAAUGUUAAGAUUAUGUGGGCAACAGACAAUAUAAUAACCCUAACCUUAAAUGAAGUUUAUCUACUUCUGAAUACAUCUGGCUAGAUGAAAGCAAAACACAAUGUCCUCUGAUUAUUCGGAACACAGUCUGAUGCUGAUGGCCUGUCCAUUGUAUCCAGUGAGAAAAGAGGCCAGGACACUGAGGCAGGCUGAAUCAAAACUUGAACAGAAGUGUUGUGUGUAUCACCUCAUUUUCACGCAUUUCAAGUGUGCUGGCACCUGACAUUUUAAACUUCCAACAACAGAAUUGUUCAAGAGAUGUUCAAGAGAUGUUCUGAGUAGCUGAGUGACAGUGCAAGGAGGUGCAUGGUUCCUGACGAAAGAAUCAGACAGUGAAGUCUUCUCAGUUGAGACAGACAAAUAGAAAAUCUGUUUCUCACAUAACUACAGCGAUAACAGAAAAUAUUGUAAGAGGAUGAGCUAUUUUUGCCAGUGCAUCAUUGAACAAAAAAGUUUCAAAGACUCAUUAGCUGUUUACUUCUGUUGGAAAUUAACGUUGAGCUCUAAAAGUUUUCCAUAGUGUUGAGAUGUAACUCCCCCAUGUCAUACCACAUGUUGUUCCCCAUCAUAAAAUGUUGUUCCCCAUGUCA